RNAcentral lists this ribosomal RNA (461 nucleotides) under uncultured bacterium. RNAcentral describes it as "bacterial SSU rRNA". It matches the Rfam family "Bacterial small subunit ribosomal RNA", at positions 29 to 506 of the family's 1533-position model. The record is from RNAcentral.
GUUAACGCUGGCGGCGUGCCUAACACAUGCAAGUCGAGCGAGAUUCAUAGUGUAGCAAUACAUUGUGAGUCUAGCGGCAAACGGGUGAGUAAUACAUAGGAAUCUACCUUAAAGUGGGGGACAACUAACCGAAAGGUUAGCUAAUACCCCAUAAUCCCUGGAGCAAUCUAAGGGUAAAGUCGCAAGACGCUAUAAGAGGAGCCUAUGGCCUAUCAGCUAGUUGGCGGAGUAAAAGCCCACCAAGGCGAUGACGGGUAGCCGACCUGAAAGGGUGUACGGCCACAAGGGCACUGAGACACGGGCCCUACUCCUACGGGAGGCAGCAGUGGGGAAUUUUGGUCAAUGGGCGAAAGCCUGAACCAGCAACGCCGCGUGAGGGACGAAGUCUUUCGGGAUGUAAACCUCUUUUGACCCUGAAGAUAACUGACGGUAAGGGUCGAAUAAGCCAUGGCUAACUACGU